This 259-nucleotide long non-coding RNA is filed under the name Mytilus galloprovincialis (Mediterranean mussel). Lineage: Eukaryota; Metazoa; Mollusca; Bivalvia; Mytilida; Mytilidae. The record is from RNAcentral.
AACACAAUUUAAAGGUAAAACAAAAUUGUAAAACAGGUUAGAAUAACCGGUUUAUACACAUUGUAAAAAUAAGACGAGGUUCGGUUAAGGGGUUUUAUGGUAAAAAAAAACACUGUAGUAUUACAAAAUCAUAAACUGUGCGAAGUUGUAAAUCUGUGACAAUAGGCAAACAUGGUCAAAACCUCAUAACUAAAUCAACAUCGGUGUAAGCCACUAAGGAAUGAUAUUAAAGCUUCCAUAAAUAUGUAUUUCAGAUGAG